GCAUAUCAAUAAGCGGAGGAAAAGAAAAUAACAAUGAUUCCCCUAGUAACUGCGAGUGAAGAGGGACAAGCUCAAAUUUUAAAUCUGUUAGGUAUCACCUGGCCGAGUUGUAAUUUGAAGAAGCGUUUUCUGCGUCCUUGGUCAGCCCAAGUCCUAUUGAAUGAGGCAUCAUGGAGGGUGAUAAUCCCGUCCGGUUGAUCAAUGCGUUUUACGAUACGCUCUCAAAGAGUCAAGUUGUUUGGGAUUGCAGCUUAAAAUGGGAGGUAAAUUUCUCCUAAGGCUAAAUAUUGGCGAGAGACCGAUAGCGAACAAGUACCGUGAGGGAAAGAUGAAAAGAACUUUGAAAAGAGAGUAAAAUAGUGCGUGAAAUUGUUGAAAGGGAAACGAUUGAAGUCAGUCGUACCGACGGACAAUCAGCCUUUUGAGUGCGAUUCUGUGGUGCAUGAGGAGGAAACCCUCAUGUUUUGCAUAUUUGUGCUCUUUGGGUGUACUUGUUCGUAUGGUGGGUUAACAUCAAUUUUGGUCGUCAUAAAAUGACGGGAGGAAAGUAGCUUUGGUCUCGUAUUGAAGUGUUAUAGCCUCUGGUAGAUGUGACGACCGGGAUUGAGGAUUGCAACGGAUACCCUUUUGGGCUACUCGCCUGAUCUCUGAUCGUUACUCUGGUGCCGAAAGCUUGCUUAUGUCAUCAAAGUUGAUGGUCAAAAGGUUAGAACGGGUUAAAUUCGUUAAGGAUGUUGACGUA
Molecule: ribosomal RNA, 742 nt
Filed under: uncultured Glomus
Lineage: Eukaryota; Fungi; Glomeromycota; Glomeromycetes; Glomerales; Glomeraceae
Description: LSU rRNA
Rfam family: Eukaryotic large subunit ribosomal RNA
Source: RNAcentral